This 499-nucleotide ribosomal RNA is filed under the name uncultured bacterium. RNAcentral describes it as "partial 16S ribosomal RNA". It matches the Rfam family "Bacterial small subunit ribosomal RNA", at positions 30 to 523 of the family's 1533-position model. The record is from RNAcentral.
AUUGAACGCUGGCGGCAGGCCUAACACAUGCAAGUCGAGCGGAUGAAGAGAGCUUGCUCUCUGAUUCAGCGGCGGACGGGUGAGUAAUGCCUAGGAACCUGCCUGGUAGUGGGGGACAACGUUUCGAAAGGAACGCUAAUACCGCAUACGUCCUACGGGAGAAAGUGGGGAUCUUCGGACCUCACGCUAUCAGAUGAGCCUAGGUACGAUUAGCUAGUUGGUGAGGUAAAGGCUCACCAAGGCGACGAUCGUUAACUGGUCUGAGAGGAUGAUCAGUCACACUGGAACUGAGACACGGUCCAGACUCCUACGGGAGGCAGCAGUGGGGAAUAUUGGACAAUGGGCGAAAGCCUGAUCCAGCCAUGCCGCGUGUGUGAAGAAGGUCUUCGGAUUGUAAAGCACUUUAAGUUGGGAGGAAGGGCAGUAAGUCAAUACCUUGCUGUUUUGACGUUACCGACAGAAUAAGCACCGGCUAACUUCGUGCCAGCCGCCGCCGUAA